ACAUCCUGGUCAAAAGGUCUUCAACGUCAAACUCAUGCUGCCUGAAAAACUACAACAGCUACAAACAGCUAAAUUAGCCAAAAUUUACCGCUUUAGAACCAGCGUACACGGUGUUAAAAACGUUUUGUUUUUCCUGCAUUGUCGCUUUAUUUGGUUUCAAGAUAAAAAUGUCUGGAAAGGCGAAGGAAAUAUUACAAAUGGACCUAUAUGGGCUACUCGGCAUUGAGGGCUCAGCUACAACGAAAGAGAUCAAGAAAGCUUACAGACAAAAGGCCCUGACCUGCCAUCCAGACAAGAACCCAGACAACCCCAAAGCAGCGGAGCUUUUCCACCAGUUGUCCCAGGCUCUUGAAGUUCUCACUGAUGCUGCAGCCAGGGCUGCCUAUGACAAGAUUUGUGCUGCCAAGAAACAAGCUGAAGAACGAAACAAGAAAUUAGAUGACAAAAGGAAGAAAAUUAAACUUGACUUGGAAGCCAGAGAACAACGAGCAGAGACUCAGAACCAGGAGGAGGUGCGAAUCACAAGAACACUUGAAGAAGAGAUCGCCCGCUUAAGGGAGGAGGGAUCCAGACAGCUUGAAGAAGAGCAGAGGCUCAUCAGAGAGCAGAUCCAGAGAGAAAGGGAAGCAGAGCAACAACCAGGAGACUGCACUUACAGAGGAGGGGAGAGAUAUUCCCAGAGCAACAUAACUCCCAAACUGAAGUUAAAAUGGAAUUGCAAGAAAGACGACGAGAUGAAUGGAGGUUAUUCUCAAGAGGUUCUACUUAAACUACUUCAUAAGUACGGGGAUGUUUUAAAUGUGAUCGUAUCAAGUAAGAAGAAAGGAAGUGCUGUUGUGGAGUUUGCAUCUGCGAAAGCAGCUGAACUGGCUGCUAAAAAUGAAAGCGGUCUGAGUGGUAACCCCUUGAAGAUUACAUGGCUGGAAGGACAACCUGAGGUUGUUACUGCACCAUCUCAAUCUGGCCAGUUCGUUUCUUUACAGGAUCAGAGUGGGACUUUCUUCUUUAACCCCCCCAGUCGCAACACAUUGAUCAGCAGGUCACGGUCUGACUAAAGGGAGCUUAAAGACACAAAUGACUUCACCUCCAAUUCCAGUUCCUUUGCUUCUUGGGUCAACAAAUGCAUCUGGAGACAAUGUGGUUUUUCUGAUGAAGCGGGGUUCCCUUUCAAAUGAGCGCGACUAUGAGACGAUAGUGAUGAUGAGGAUGAGGCAGGCUGCCGAGCGUCAGAGGCUCAUAGAGCAGAUGCAGAGAGAGGAUGAUGAGGACGCUGCAAAGUCCUAGCACCAGAA
Molecule: RNA transcript, 1292 nt
Organism: Girardinichthys multiradiatus
Lineage: Eukaryota; Metazoa; Chordata; Actinopteri; Cyprinodontiformes; Goodeidae
Gene: dnajc17
Gene name: DnaJ (Hsp40) homolog, subfamily C, member 17
Exons: 12
Source: RefSeq, a predicted model, not a curated record